CGGCGGACGGGUGAGUAACGCGUGGGUAACCUGCCUCAUACAGGGGGAUAACAGUUGGAAACGGCUGCUAAUACCGCAUAAGCGCACAGUACCGCAUGGUACGUGUGAAAAACUCCGGUGGUAUGAGAUGGACCCGCGUCUGAUUAGGUAGUUGGUGGGGUAACGGCCUACCAAGCCGACGAUCAGUAGCCGCCUGAGAGGGUGACCGGCCACAUUGGGACUGAGACACGGCCCAA
This 236-nucleotide ribosomal RNA is filed under the name uncultured bacterium. RNAcentral's name for it is "partial 16S ribosomal RNA". It matches the Rfam family "Bacterial small subunit ribosomal RNA", at positions 96 to 334 of the family's 1533-position model. The record is from RNAcentral.